Long non-coding RNA from Populus trichocarpa (black cottonwood), 1908 nucleotides. RefSeq lists it as uncharacterized. NCBI's taxonomy places the organism in Eukaryota, Viridiplantae, Streptophyta, Magnoliopsida, Malpighiales, Salicaceae. The record is from RefSeq and is a predicted model, not a curated record. The transcript has 3 exons.
UCUUGUCACAGUUGAUGGCUUGCUUUUCCACUAAUGGAUUCCACACAAUAUCAAGCAAAACCACCAUUGAGUUAAAGUUCAGUUGGAAAUAGUGAGGUAAAAGUGUUGCUAGUAUCAACUAGGUCUUGCUCUAAAAGGAUCGAUCUUGUUGGACCAUUGAAGCGCUAAGAAAGGAACAAGCCCUGGUUGAUGCAUGCAACACUUUUGCUUUAUUAUUUACAUUGUUAAAAUGUUUGGUGACUUAAAUUAGGUUAAGACAACAUAAAUUGAAAGUUUGGUGACUUAAUUAAACUUUGAAUUAGUUUAAUUAAUCAAAUCAAGAGCUUAAUUGAAGAUUUGGGACUUAAUUGAACUUGAAAUUAGUUUAAUUAAUGAAAUCAAGAGCUUAAUUGAAUAGAUAUUAAAGUUUGGGGCUGAUUCAGGUCAACAUUGCAAUAAACUAAAGUCCAAGAACCAAAGUGAAACAUCGGGGGUACUAUAUGGAGGUUAAUUACUUUUUCCAGGGGUAAUUUUGAAAGAAUUAAAAGUCGAGGAGCCAAUUAAGGACUGAAUUGCUUAAAUUAGAAAACAAUGAUCAUUUUGUAAAUAUCACCUAAAUGAAGGGGUCCAAUUGCAAUUUAUCCAGGGGCGAAAUUAAAAACACAAAAACGGAUUUUCCUGAAUAAGGGGCUUGAUUAAAACAUUUCAAAACUUCAGUGACCACAAUGACAAUGGCCAUUCCCGUACCAAAACGGCGCCGUUUCAAAGAAAACUGUUCAUCACCUUCAUAACGAUUCAGCGGAAACGGCAGCAGACCGUGGUAGCAUCCCUCUCGCCCCCACAUUGCAUGCCAUUACUGAGGCACGAACGCAUGGCAUUCUCUGGCUUUAUAAAAGCCACGACAGCGGGGGGGAAGCACAAGACAGAGAGAACGAAGAGGGGAGAGAAAAACAGAAACACCAAGAACGAGAGACAAGAAGGAACAGAAAAACCCAGGAAAAACAGAGACGAGCAAACAGAGAAAAAACCAGGGAGGAACGAACAGAGAAAAAUACAGGGAGACAGAGGAAGAAAAUAAGGAAGAGAGGGAAAGACAGACAUUACAGAGAGGGAGAGACAGACACAGAGACGAAAAAAAAAACAGAAAGAAAGACAAGAGAGGACGAAGAAGAAAAACAAGACGAAGCAGAGGAGAGCGUCCGAUUCGACCAGCAACUUCACGUCUUCAUCGCCAUCGUCUUCGUCUCAGAACCAGAGCUUGUCAGGAAGACGCCACAGCAAAAGAGACGAAGAAGGAAUCCAGAAAGCAAGAAAAAGAGGAAAACCAGAGAAAGAACAUAGGAGAAGACGGUUAGCCAGCACACCUUCGCCAUCGCCUUCGACGUCUCCAGACCAGGAGGCAUAGACGUCAUACUUUCUUAAAGACCCCCCCGCCCACCGAGGAGAAAUCGUGACUCAAACCUAUCCAGUAAGAUCAAAGCUUGUGAUCAAUUCAACCGGUUUUACUUAGGUUCCUUGUAAGCCCAACUGCGGCUAGAUAAUGAAUCAAGGGCAUGAGGUCAGGGUUUGUCAAUUCAAGUCGUAGGCCGACCAGCGGUAUUGGGCUUUAUGUCUUCUUCUAACUCAAGAGUUCUCGUUGAGAUUGGCGAUUUAAUUCCUCUCCUUUUCCUUUUCUAUUCAUUCAUACAAUUUGCCUCUUCGGAUUAUUUCAAAAAAGAAUUCAGGAAAUAAAAACAGGCCUAGACUGAGGGCCGAGGAAUAGUUUUAUUCGAACGGAUCUUGACUAAAUAGUGUAAAGCAUUAUCAAAAUAUAUUUAAUACUAUUCGAUUUCUUGUUAGAUUUAGUGGCAAAUGAUGUAAAAUCGACGUUAGAUGAAAUCCUUAAUUCAAUUUUUAUAGGACAGGAAUAAUUUUAAUGAUUUGCUCUUA